This 326-nucleotide ribosomal RNA is filed under the name uncultured bacterium. RNAcentral's name for it is "bacterial SSU rRNA". It matches the Rfam family "Bacterial small subunit ribosomal RNA", at positions 1163 to 1488 of the family's 1533-position model. The record is from RNAcentral.
CCGGAGGAAGGUGGGGAUGACGUCAAAUCAUCAUGCCCCUUAUGAUUUGGGCUACACACGUGCUACAAUGGACAAUACAAAGGGUAGCGAAACCGCGAGGUCAAGCAAAUCCCAUAAAGUUGUUCUCAGUUCGGAUUGUAGUCUGCAACUCGACUAUAUGAAGCUGGAAUCGCUAGUAAUCGUAGAUCAGCAUGCUACGGUGAAUACGUUCCCGGGUCUUGUACACACCGCCCGUCACACCACGAGAGUUUGUAACACCCGAAGCCGGUGGAGUAACCAUUUGGAGCUAGCCGUCGAAGGUGGGACAAAUGAUUGGGGUGAAGUCG